UAAUUGAAGAGUUUGAUCAUGGCUCAGAUUGAACGCUGGCGGCAGGCCUAACACAUGCAAGUCGAGCGGUAACAGGAGAAAGCUUGCUUUCUUGCUGACGAGCGGCGGACGGGUGAGUAAUGUAUGGGGAUCUGCCCGAUAGAGGGGGAUAACUACUGGAAACGGUGGCUAAUACCGCAUAAUGUCUACGGACCAAAGCAGGGGCUCUUCGGACCUUGCACUAUCGGAUGAACCCAUAUGGGAUUAGCUAGUAGGUGGGGUAAAGGCUCACCUAGGCGACGAUCUCUAGCUGGUCUGAGAGGAUGAUCAGCCACACUGGGACUGAGACACGGCCCAGACUCCUACGGGAGGCAGCAGUGGGGAAUAUUGCACAAUGGGCGCAAGCCUGAUGCAGCCAUGCCGCGUGUAUGAAGAAGGCCUUAGGGUUGUAAAGUACUUUCAGCGGGGAGGAAGGUGAUAAGGUUAAUACCCUUAUCAAUUGACGUUACCCGCAGAAGAAGCACCGGCUAACUCCGUGCCAGCAGCCGCGGUAAUACGGAGGGUGCAAGCGU
Molecule: ribosomal RNA, 551 nt
Filed under: Proteus mirabilis
Lineage: Bacteria; Pseudomonadati; Pseudomonadota; Gammaproteobacteria; Enterobacterales; Morganellaceae
Description: bacterial SSU rRNA
Rfam family: Bacterial small subunit ribosomal RNA
Source: RNAcentral